UACGUAGGGUGCGAGCGUUGUCCGGAAUUACUGGGCGUAAAGAGCGCGCAGGCGGUCGUUCAAGUCGAGUGUGAAAGCCCCCGGCUCAACUGGGGAGGGUCAUUCGAUACUGAUCGACUCGAAGGCAGGAGAGGGAAGUGGAAUUCCCGGUGUAGCGGUGAAAUGCGCAGAUAUCGGGAGGAACACCAAUUGCGAAGGCAGCUUGCUGGGACGGUACUGACGCUGAGGCGCGAAGGCGUGGGGAGCAAACAGG
This 253-nucleotide ribosomal RNA is filed under the name uncultured bacterium. Its description in RNAcentral is "partial 16S ribosomal RNA". It matches the Rfam family "Bacterial small subunit ribosomal RNA", at positions 524 to 776 of the family's 1533-position model. The record is from RNAcentral.